RNAcentral lists this ribosomal RNA (1540 nucleotides) under Staphylococcus aureus M0363. Its description in RNAcentral is "16S ribosomal RNA". It matches the Rfam family "Bacterial small subunit ribosomal RNA". The record is from RNAcentral. Lineage: Bacteria; Bacillati; Bacillota; Bacilli; Caryophanales; Staphylococcaceae.
AGAGUUUGAUCCUGGCUCAGGAUGAACGCUGGCGGCGUGCCUAAUACAUGCAAGUCGAGCGAACGGACGAGAAGCUUGCUUCUCUGAUGUUAGCGGCGGACGGGUGAGUAACACGUGGAUAACCUACCUAUAAGACUGGGAUAACUUCGGGAAACCGGAGCUAAUACCGGAUAAUAUUUUGAACUGCAUGGUUCAAAAGUGAAAGACGGUCUUGCUGUCACUUAUAGAUGGAUCCGCGCUGCAUUAGCUAGUUGGUAAGGUAACGGCUUACCAAGGCAACGAUGCAUAGCCGACCUGAGAGGGUGAUCGGCCACACUGGAACUGAGACACGGUCCAGACUCCUACGGGAGGCAGCAGUAGGGAAUCUUCCGCAAUGGGCGAAAGCCUGACGGAGCAACGCCGCGUGAGUGAUGAAGGUCUUCGGAUCGUAAAACUCUGUUAUUAGGGAAGAACAUAUGUGUAAGUAACUGUGCACAUCUUGACGGUACCUAAUCAGAAAGCCACGGCUAACUACGUGCCAGCAGCCGCGGUAAUACGUAGGUGGCAAGCGUUAUCCGGAAUUAUUGGGCGUAAAGCGCGCGUAGGCGGUUUUUUAAGUCUGAUGUGAAAGCCCACGGCUCAACCGUGGAGGGUCAUUGGAAACUGGAAAACUUGAGUGCAGAAGAGGAAAGUGGAAUUCCAUGUGUAGCGGUGAAAUGCGCAGAGAUAUGGAGGAACACCAGUGGCGAAGGCGACUUUCUGGUCUGUAACUGACGCUGAUGUGCGAAAGCGUGGGGAUCAAACAGGAUUAGAUACCCUGGUAGUCCACGCCGUAAACGAUGAGUGCUAAGUGUUAGGGGGUUUCCGCCCCUUAGUGCUGCAGCUAACGCAUUAAGCACUCCGCCUGGGGAGUACGACCGCAAGGUUGAAACUCAAAGGAAUUGACGGGGACCCGCACAAGCGGUGGAGCAUGUGGUUUAAUUCGAAGCAACGCGAAGAACCUUACCAAAUCUUGACAUCCUUUGACAACUCUAGAGAUAGAGCCUUCCCCUUCGGGGGACAAAGUGACAGGUGGUGCAUGGUUGUCGUCAGCUCGUGUCGUGAGAUGUUGGGUUAAGUCCCGCAACGAGCGCAACCCUUAAGCUUAGUUGCCAUCAUUAAGUUGGGCACUCUAAGUUGACUGCCGGUGACAAACCGGAGGAAGGUGGGGAUGACGUCAAAUCAUCAUGCCCCUUAUGAUUUGGGCUACACACGUGCUACAAUGGACAAUACAAAGGGCAGCGAAACCGCGAGGUCAAGCAAAUCCCAUAAAGUUGUUCUCAGUUCGGAUUGUAGUCUGCAACUCGACUACAUGAAGCUGGAAUCGCUAGUAAUCGUAGAUCAGCAUGCUACGGUGAAUACGUUCCCGGGUCUUGUACACACCGCCCGUCACACCACGAGAGUUUGUAACACCCGAAGCCGGUGGAGUAACCUUUUAGGAGCUAGCCGUCGAAGGUGGGACAAAUGAUUGGGGUGAAGUCGUAACAAGGUAGCCGUAUCGGAAGGUGCGGCUGGGUCACCU